GCUUGGCCAAAAAGUUCGUUCGGGUUUUUCAUACCAUCUUAUGGAAGAACCCAAAUGAACUUUUUGGCCAACC
This 73-nucleotide microRNA precursor is filed under the name Tursiops truncatus (common bottlenose dolphin). RNAcentral's name for it is "miRNA (ENSTTRG00000024999.1)". Lineage: Eukaryota; Metazoa; Chordata; Mammalia; Artiodactyla; Delphinidae. The record is from RNAcentral.